GCAAUGAUGACUUCACUGGCAAUGAUUGUUUGAACUGAUUUUAGCCAUCAUUCCUCUAAGAAGUUCUGAGCUU
Molecule: small nucleolar RNA, 73 nt
Organism: Rhincodon typus (whale shark)
Lineage: Eukaryota; Metazoa; Chordata; Chondrichthyes; Orectolobiformes; Rhincodontidae
Product: small nucleolar RNA SNORD61
Exons: 1
Source: RefSeq, a predicted model, not a curated record